UACUCUUGACAUCCUGCGAACUUUCGAGAGAUCAAUUGGUGCCUUCUCGAACGCACAGACAGGUGCUGCAUGGCUGUCGUCAGCUCGUGUUGUGAAAUGUUGGGUUAAGUCCCGUAACGAGCGCAACCCUUGUCCUUAGUUGCCAUCAUUUAGUUGGGGACUCUAACGAGACUGCCGGUGACAAACCGGAGGAAGGCGGGGACGACGUCAAGUCAUCAUGCCCCUUACGAGUAGGGCUACACACGUGCUACAAUGGCCGGUACAGAGGGUCGCGAAGCCGCGAGGUGGAGCUAAUCUCACAAAGCCGGUCGUAGUCCGGAUUGGAGUCUGCAACUCGACUCCAUGAAGUCGGAAUCGCUAGUAAUCGUGAAUCAGAAUGUCACGGUGAAUACGUUCCCGGGCCU
Molecule: ribosomal RNA, 404 nt
Filed under: uncultured bacterium
Lineage: Bacteria
Description: bacterial SSU rRNA
Rfam family: Bacterial small subunit ribosomal RNA
Source: RNAcentral